AAAAGAAUGGGUUUUUGAUUAGAUAAUUUGCAAUUAUUUAUAAUGAAUGUUCAUAGA
Molecule: transfer RNA, 57 nt
Filed under: Cyriopagopus schmidti (Chinese earth tiger)
Lineage: Eukaryota; Metazoa; Arthropoda; Arachnida; Araneae; Theraphosidae
Description: Haplopelma schmidti (Chinese earth tiger) tRNA-Ala
Source: RNAcentral